Equus asinus (donkey) is the source of this 2115-nucleotide long non-coding RNA. Lineage: Eukaryota; Metazoa; Chordata; Mammalia; Perissodactyla; Equidae. The record is from Ensembl.
AGCCCUAGUAUGGUACCUGGCCUGCAGCAAGGGCUCAAUGAGCAACAGUCACCCUGGUUACCAUUUGCUGAAUCAGGGCAGGGUCAGAGUGCAGGGGAAGGGUCCAAGGUUCACCAACCGUUAGUGGCCAAACCGGUCGGUGUGACCAGACCAAGCGCAACCUUCAAAAACGCUCUUCUUGCCGUCUUCAGCAAGACAAACAGGGAAAGGCUCCUGUGACUGCCAAAACUUUGCCUGUCAUAAAAACAUCCUCCAUGUCACAGUGACAACCACGAGAACAGAACGGGAGGCAGCAAGGUCUAGAGGAUGAGAUGCAGAACCGGGAAUCAGACCUGUUUCCCAACAAGACCGAGAACUACUUUUAAUUGAGAUGUACAAAGGAGGUGCAGGAGGACAAUAAUUUGUGACUCAAAAAUAACACGCAAGUCAAGAGUUGUGAAUGGAAUUUAGGCAGUGCCUUCAAAUCCUGCAGCCUUCAAUCACUUUAUAAGGAUAGCACAGGCCACCACUGGCUUGGAUAUUGUCACAUUACUCAUCUCUCAUCUGCCUAAUCCACUUUACCACCUACAGUCCAAACAACCAGGAGAGAGAAGUCCGUGUGGACUUUCCCUCAUCAAAAGUGAACCAGGAAACAGUUUCAAAGCAGAUCUCACGCUAACCUCCAAAAGAGUGGUGCCAACAGAUAAACAGAGGAAACACCAAACAAACAAGAAUGUGAAGUAAAAUCCUUCCUUGCAAAAAUGGCUACAUCUUUUUUCACAAACUUCAGGAGAAAAAGCUUCCAUCAAAUGAGCUCCAGCCUGACCACCUCUCUCCAGCACCGUGAACAGCAUGGAAGCCCAGAUCAAAGAACAUCUUAUAUGUGGCCUUUCCUUGUCCCACUAAAUGUCACUGAGGCAGAGCUAGUGGCACCCUAUACCCAGGCUUUCCUUACCAGAUCCUUGCAUCUCAGAAGCUCAGAUGCAAACGAGAUUCAGAAAACCAAAUGAACUGAGAAGAGGAAUAAAGGAGAAAGACUGGAUUAGACCAUGGCCAACAUCUUUGGGCAAAUGCACACAUCCUCCUGUUGCCAUUUUAGCAAGACCAUGGACCUCUCAGAACACUAAUUCCUCUCUGGAUCACUGCUUCCCAGAGCAAUAACAUAAAUCCAUCUAACAUUUAAGCAAAAGGAUAUUGAGCUUGGCAGAUCAGCACAGUGUAUGUUUGCCUCCUGGAGUGAUAAGGUCACCCAUUCAAGACCCCCUAGGAAAGGAGGGUGGAAGUGCAGAGAGCCACACAUGAAGCAGCCAGACCUAGUACAGAGGGUGCAGAUACCCUUUGAAGCAACAAAGAAUAACUGAGGAGAAGCAAGCCAGAGCCUUCGAGGAAACACAGGCUUGACGUGUCCAGCUGUCAUUAAGAAAUGCAAAAAGUUAACAGGUCACAACGCAUCCUGGUAUUGUAGGGACAUAAGUAGGGGCAUUCUUAGGUCUGGAACCCCCAAAGAAGCAGGUUUGCAGCCCUAAAACAUUGAUGUUCAACUGCUCAAAUCUGACCAGGUGAUUCUUGCAUGUUAGUUCACAGCCUUCUGAAUCUAACUGCACCCAACUUUUCACACAAAACACCCAUGUUUCCAUCAUUACAUAUAUCCUGGAAGCUGAUCAAAACCUCUCAAAGAAUACAUGAGGAAACAGACAUCUACUCACCUUGUUGACAGGAGCACAAAUUGGUCCCAUCUUUUUGGAGGGCAACUGAGCAAUAUUUAGCAAAAUGAACAUAAUAUUUCAUUUGGAAAUUUCACUUUUAGGGAUUUAUCCAAAAGACACACUCAUACAUGGGCAAAUUUAUGCUCACAAGUUUAUUUAUUGCAGUGUUUUUUGUAAUAGCCAAAGACCAAGAACAUUUGAAAUGUACAUCAAAAAGGAAUCUGGUUAAAAACGCCAGUGGAAUAUGAAAUAGCCAUUAAAAAGAAUGAGGCAAGUCUACAGGUGCUGUGAUGAGACAGAUGAUCUCCAAAAUGGAACGUUAAAUAAUAAAAAGAUCAAAGUCCAAGACAGUAUCAUAGCAUGCUUUACUUAUGUAAAAACAACCAAAAAUGGGAUAUAUGCAUGUUCAUAUAUACAUAUAUGUACAAAC